Molecule: transfer RNA, 69 nt
Filed under: Caecilia volcani
Lineage: Eukaryota; Metazoa; Chordata; Amphibia; Gymnophiona; Caeciliidae
Description: tRNA-Met
Source: RNAcentral
AGUAAAGUCAGCUAACCAAGCUUUUGGGCCCAUACCCCGAACAUGUUGAUGAAACCUCUCCCUUUACUA